CAAAUGUUGAAAAUGCACCCAGGGGAAAUGUGUAAUGUUGAAGAAGAAUGUUGGGUGCCGGGCCGGCGGGGGUUUAAGUUCCACUGGAAAGUGGCGACCACAGAAGGGUGACAGCCCCGUGAACCCCUUCCAACGCCUUCAUCCCAGAUCUCCAAGAGUCGAGUUGUUUGGGAAUGCAGCUCUAAGUGGGUGGUAAAUUCCAUCUAAAGCUAAAUACCGGCGAGAGACCGAUAGCGAACAAGUACAGUGAUGGAAAGAUGAAAAGCACUUUGAAAAGAGAGUGAAAAAGUACGUGAAAUUGUUGAAAGGGAAGGGCUUGCGGGCGUACACUUAACUGGGGCCGUCAUCCGGGCGGCGGGGAACCAACCAGCGGGGAAUGUAUCUCUCCAAGAUAAUAUUCCC
This 402-nucleotide ribosomal RNA is filed under the name Metschnikowia pulcherrima. RNAcentral's name for it is "partial large subunit ribosomal RNA". It matches the Rfam family "Eukaryotic large subunit ribosomal RNA", at positions 110 to 488 of the family's 3401-position model. Lineage: Eukaryota; Fungi; Ascomycota; Pichiomycetes; Serinales; Metschnikowiaceae. The record is from RNAcentral.